RNAcentral lists this ribosomal RNA (253 nucleotides) under uncultured Methylococcaceae bacterium. Its description in RNAcentral is "partial 16S ribosomal RNA". It matches the Rfam family "Bacterial small subunit ribosomal RNA", at positions 524 to 776 of the family's 1533-position model. Lineage: Bacteria; Pseudomonadati; Pseudomonadota; Gammaproteobacteria; Methylococcales; Methylococcaceae. The record is from RNAcentral.
UACGGAGGGUGCGAGCGUUAAUCGGAAUUACUGGGCGUAAAGCGUGCGUAGGUGGUUGCUUAAGUCAGAUGUGAAAGCCCCGGGCUCAACCUGGGAACUGCAUUUGAAACUGGACAACUAGAGUCUAAGAGAGGGGAGUGGAAUUUCAGGUGUAGCGGUGAAAUGCGUAGAGAUCUGAAGGAACACCAGUGGCGAAGGCGACUCCCUGGCUUAAGACUGACGCUGAGGUACGAAAGCGUGGGUAGCAAACAGG